RNAcentral lists this ribosomal RNA (484 nucleotides) under uncultured bacterium. Its description in RNAcentral is "partial 16S ribosomal RNA". It matches the Rfam family "Bacterial small subunit ribosomal RNA", at positions 30 to 507 of the family's 1533-position model. The record is from RNAcentral.
AUUGAACGCUGGCGGCAGGCCUAACACAUGCAAGUCGAGCGGAUGAAGGGAGCUUGCUCCUGGAUUCAGCGGCGGACGGGGGAGUAAUGCCUAGGAAUCUGCCUGGUAGUGGGGGAGAACGCCCGGAAACGGCCGCAAUAACCGCGUACACCCUGGGGGGAAAAGGGGGGGGGCUUCGGACCCCUCGCGAUCAGAGGAUCCUAGGUCGGAUUAGCUAGUUGGUGGGGUAAAGGCCUACCAAGGCGACGAUCCGUAACUGGUCUGAGAGGAUGAUCAGUCACACUGGAACUGAGACACGGUCCAGACUCCUACGGGAGGCAGCAGUGGGGAAUAUUGGACAAUGGGCGAAAGCCUGAUCCAGCCAUGCCGCGUGUGUGAAGAAGGUCUUCGGAUUGUAAAGCACUUUAAGUUGGGAGGAAGGGCAGUAAGUUAAUACCUUGCUGUUUUGACGUUACCAAAAGAAUAAGCACCGGCUAACUUCGUG